AUUGAACGCUGGCGGCAUGCUUUACACAUGCAAGUUGAACGGCAGCGCGAUAUUAUGUUUACAUAGUAUUGGCGGCGAGUAGCGGACGGGUGAGUAAUACAUCGGAACGUGUCAUUGAGUGGGGGGUAACUUAGCGAAAGCUAAGCUAAUACCGCAUGAGCUUGAGAGAGGAAAGGCUGGGACCCGCGAGGGUCUGUUGCUCGAUGAGUGGCCGAUGGCUGAUUAGCUAGUUGGUGAGGUAAGGGAUUACAAAGGGGACGAUCAGUAGCUGGUCUGAGAGGAUGAUCAGCCACACUGGGACUGAGAUACGGCCCAGACUCCUACGGGAGGCAGCAGUGGGGAAUAUUGGACAAUGGGGGGAACCCUGAUCCAGCGAUGCCGCGUGAGUGAAGAAGGCUUUCGGGUUGUAAAGCUCUUUUGUCAGGGAAGAAAGGACUAUUUUUAAUAGAGAUAGUAGAUGACGGUACCUGAAGAAUAAGCACCGGCUAACUACGUGCCAGCAGCCGCAGUAAGAC
This 515-nucleotide ribosomal RNA is filed under the name uncultured bacterium. RNAcentral describes it as "bacterial SSU rRNA". It matches the Rfam family "Bacterial small subunit ribosomal RNA", at positions 30 to 526 of the family's 1533-position model. The record is from RNAcentral.